AUUGAACGCUGGCGGCAGGCCUAACACAUGCAAGUCGAACGGUAACAGGAAACAGCUUGCUGUUUCGCUGACGAGUGGCGGACGGGUGAGUAAUGUCUGGGAAACUGCCUGAUGGAGGGGGAUAACUACUGGAAACGGUAGCUAAUACCGCAUAACGUCGCAAGACCAAAGAGGGGGACCUUCGGGCCUCUUGCCAUCGGAUGUGCCCAGAUGGGAUUAGCUUGUUGGUGGGGUAACGGCUCACCAAGGCGACGAUCCCUAGCUGGUCUGAGAGGAUGACCAGCCACACUGGAACUGAGACACGGUCCAGACUCCUACGGGAGGCAGCAGUGGGGAAUAUUGCACAAUGGGCGCAAGCCUGAUGCAGCCAUGCCGCGUGUAUGAAGAAGGCCUUCGGGUUGUAAAGUACUUUCAGCGGGGAGGAAGGGAGUAAAGUUAAUACCUUUACUCAUUGACGUUACCUGCAGAAGAAGCACCGGCUAACUCCGUGCCAGCAGCCGCGGUAAUACGGAGGGUGCAAGCGUUAAUCGGAAUUACUGGGCG
This 543-nucleotide ribosomal RNA is filed under the name uncultured Escherichia sp. Its description in RNAcentral is "bacterial SSU rRNA". It matches the Rfam family "Bacterial small subunit ribosomal RNA", at positions 28 to 560 of the family's 1533-position model. Lineage: Bacteria; Pseudomonadati; Pseudomonadota; Gammaproteobacteria; Enterobacterales; Enterobacteriaceae. The record is from RNAcentral.